This 1537-nucleotide ribosomal RNA is filed under the name insect metagenome. Its description in RNAcentral is "bacterial LSU rRNA". It matches the Rfam family "Bacterial large subunit ribosomal RNA", at positions 476 to 2018 of the family's 2925-position model. The record is from RNAcentral.
UCUAGUGACCGAUAGUGAACCAGUACCGUGAGGGAAAGGUGAAAAGUACCCCGGAAGGGGAGUGAAAGAGAACUUGAAACCGUGUGCUUACAAGUAGUCAGAGCCCGUUAAUGGGUGAUGGCGUGCCUUUUGUAGAAUGAACCGGCGAGUUACGAUCUGAUGCAAGGUUAAGCAGCAAAUGUGGAGCCGCAGCGAAAGCGAGUCUGAAUAGGGCGUUGAGUAUUUGGUCGUAGACCCGAAACCAGGUGAUCUACCCUUGGUCAGGUUGAAGUUCAGGUAACACUGAAUGGAGGACCGAACCGACUUACGUUGAAAAGUGAGCGGAUGAACUGAGGGUAGCGGAGAAAUUCCAAUCGAACUUGGAGAUAGCUGGUUCUCUCCGAAAUAGCUUUAGGGCUAGCCUCAAGUGAUGAUUAUUGGAGGUAGAGCACUGUUUGGACGAGGGGCCCCUCUCGGGUUACCGAAUUCAGACAAACUCCGAAUGCCAAUUAAUUUAACUUGGGAGUCAGAACAUGGGUGAUAAGGUCCGUGUUCGAAAGGGAAACAGCCCAGACCACCAGCUAAGGUCCCAAAAUAUAUGUUAAGUGGAAAAGGAUGUGGCGUUGCCCAGACAACUAGGAUGUUGGCUUAGAAGCAGCCAUCAUUUAAAGAGUGCGUAAUAGCUCACUAGUCGAGUGACACUGCGCCGAAAAUGUACCGGGGCUAAACAUAUUACCGAAGCUGUGGAUUGUCCUUUGGACAAUGGUAGGAGAGCGUUCUAAGGGCGUCGAAGCAUGAUCGCAAGGACAUGUGGAGCGCUUAGAAGUGAGAAUGCCGGUGUGAGUAGCGAAAGACGGGUGAGAAUCCCGUCCACCGANUGACUAAGGUUUCCAGAGGAAGGCUCGUCCGCUCUGGGUUAGUCGGGUCCUAAGCUGAGGCCGACAGGCGUAGGCGAUGGAUAACAGGUUGAUAUUCCUGUACCACCUANNAUCGUUUUAAUCGAUGGGGGGACGCAGUAGGAUAGGCGAAGCGUNCNNUUGGANUGNACGUCNAAGCAGUNAGNNUGAGUGUUAGGCAAAUCCGGCACUCAUAAGGCUGAGCUGUGAUGGGGAGAGGAAAUUGUUUCCUCGAGUCGUUGAUUUCACACUGCCGAGAAAAGCCUCUAGAUAGAUAACAGGUGCCCGUACCGCAAACCGACACAGGUAGUCAAGAUGAGAAUUCUAAGGUGAGCGAGCGAACUCUCGUUAAGGAACUCGGCAAAAUGACCCCGUAACUUCGGGAGAAGGGGUGCUCUUUAGGGUUCACGCCCAGAAGAGCCGCAGUGAAUAGGCCCAAGCGACUGUUUAUCAAAAACACAGGUCUCUGCUAAACCGUAAGGUGAUGUAUAGGGGCUGACGCCUGCCCGGUGCUGGAAGGUUAAGAGGAGUGGUUAGCUUCUGCGAAGCUACGAAUCGAAGCCCCAGUAAACGGCGGCCGUAACUAUAACGGUCCUAAGGUAGCGAAAUUCCUUGUCGGGUAAGUUCCGACCCGCACGAAAGGUGUAACGAUCUGGGCACUG